This 379-nucleotide long non-coding RNA is filed under the name Olea europaea subsp. europaea. The record is from RNAcentral. Lineage: Eukaryota; Viridiplantae; Streptophyta; Magnoliopsida; Lamiales; Oleaceae.
CUCAAACAGGGCUUAAUGAACUAUAGAAAAAUAGCUAAAAUUCAGAAUUACAAAACUUUCUUACGUAUCCCUUCCCGUGCCUCAAAAUUGACCCCCUUAAGUAUAGUACAAAAAUACAGCUAAGCAAACGUGCAGAUGAAUCAGCAGCCAUCACCACCUAACCAACCACCGCGCACCACCUUCAACCACCACCACACAGCCUUAACCACGUGUCCCCCUCGGCUACCCUCACAUCAAUUUUCCAGUAAAAAUCAUCUUCUUUUUUGGCUCUCUUCCAGCCUGUCCCCCCACUCUUUGAUUAUAACUGAUCAUUUUUUAUUAUUCAAUUCCGUUUAGUUUUUGGCCUCUUCUUCUGGGUCCUUCUCAUCUAUUAUUCUCU